This 221-nucleotide ribosomal RNA is filed under the name Shigella flexneri. Its description in RNAcentral is "partial 16S ribosomal RNA". It matches the Rfam family "Bacterial small subunit ribosomal RNA", at positions 8 to 225 of the family's 1533-position model. Lineage: Bacteria; Pseudomonadati; Pseudomonadota; Gammaproteobacteria; Enterobacterales; Enterobacteriaceae. The record is from RNAcentral.
AGAGUUUGAUCAUGGCUCAGAUUGAACGCUGGCGGCAGGCCUAACACAUGCAAGUCGAACGGUAACAGGAAGCAGCUUGCUGUUUCGCUGACGAGUGGCGGACGGGGGAGGAAUGUCUGGGAAACUGCCUGAUGGAGGGGGAUAACUACUGGAAACGGUAGCUAAUACCGCAUAACGUCGCAAGACCAAAGAGGGGGACCUUCGGGCCUCUUGCCAUCGGA